GAUGAACGCUAGCUACAGGCUUAACACAUGCAAGUCGAGGGGUAACAAGAGGAAAGCUUGCUCUUCUUGUUGACGGCCGGCGCACGGGUGAGUAACGCGUAUCCAACCUGCCUAUAACUAGGGAAUAACCUUGCGAAAGUAAGACUAAUACCCUAUGAUUUCCUUUGAUGACAUCAGAUUAGGAAUAAAGAUUUAUCGGUUAUAGAUGGGGAUGCGUCUGAUUAGCUUGUUGGCGGGGUAACGGCCCACCAAGGCAACGAUCAGUAGGGGUUCUGAGAGGAAGGUCCCCCACAUUGGAACUGAGACACGGUCCAAACUCCUACGGGAGGCAGCAGUGAGGAAUAUUGGUCAAUGGGCGGAAGCCUGAACCAGCCAAGUAGCGUGCAGGAUGACGGCCCUAUGGGUUGUAAACUGCUUUUAUACAGGAAUAAAGUUAGCCACGUGUGGUUAUUUGUAGGUACUGUAUGAAUAAGGACCGGCUAAUUCCGUGCCAGCCGCCGCCGUAA
RNAcentral lists this ribosomal RNA (506 nucleotides) under uncultured bacterium. Its description in RNAcentral is "partial 16S ribosomal RNA". It matches the Rfam family "Bacterial small subunit ribosomal RNA", at positions 28 to 523 of the family's 1533-position model. The record is from RNAcentral.